This is a non-coding RNA of Rhopilema esculentum, 1444 nucleotides long. Lineage: Eukaryota; Metazoa; Cnidaria; Scyphozoa; Rhizostomeae; Rhizostomatidae. The record is from RefSeq and is a predicted model, not a curated record.
CGCGUACAGGCGGUGGUUCCCUACGAGUCUGCGAAGGGGGUCUCUCGUCUCUUUGGGGAGGUUCCCUGUAGCUUUGUGGAGCUGGGCGUUCGUCUCUUGGGGGAGGUUCCCUGUAGCUUUGGGGUGCUGGGCGUUCGUCUCUCGUAGGCUGGUAGCCGUAGCUUUGUGAGGGUGGGGGGCGUUCAUCUCGAUGGGGCGGUGGGUCUCUGUGACUUUGGGGUGGGGGCCGCUCAUUUCUUGGGGGUGGAGGACGAUAUUGUGAAGGCGGGGGUCUGUCAUCAUAUCGAUCGGAAGAUGGACGAUAAUCCCGUGGGGGAGGCGGUCUAGAACUGUUAUCACUGUAUCCAUUCGGUACACUCUCUACUCGGUCUUCAUAACGUGGAAUAGAGACAGGUUCCUCCACAGGUCCACGUGGCGGGGGUCUUGAAACUCUCUUCACCUCUGCAAAUUCUGGCCCAGGUCUAUAUGAACUGUUAGCAACCAUCUGACCACGGCUGCGGCUAUCACGAGUGGAGUCAAUGAUGUAAUUUCUAGGCGCCGGGGGGCGGGAAGGCGGCUGUCCCUGGAUUUCAUCCUCCAGUUUCCAUAUAUCAGAAACCUGAGAACAGAUUGAAAGAAAGCACAAUUAUUGUAACGAUUUAAACAAGAAAGGCAAUAUGACUAAUUCACCAGCAUUUUGAACAGCAAAAUUCGAUAACCUUGCUCUACACUGUUGCUAGUUCAUAAUCAAAAUCAUACUUACAAAUUGUUUACAGUAUCAUAACCAAACACAUUUGGCAUACAAGUUGGGCAUGAAUCAAUGAAUUAAUGAAUAAAGAUUGACGAGGACAACUUAAAAAAAAGGUCAACGAUAAUCGGAGAAAAAGGUUGGUCGGUCAGGCGGAUAUUGCACCCUUUCGAUGGAUUCGCAUUUCUUGUCAAAACCCCAACAGAUAUACAGGCAACUAUAAAUAUUUCUAUUAGAGAAAUAGAAUUUCAAGAGGAAAAUGAAAACUUUAAGGACGUGUGUGUUAAAUCAGUAGUGUGAAACCGUAAAUGUGUGGCAAUACAUAAGCGAUUUAUUCAUGAGUCUGUUCAAAAUAGGGUUCUUUCUAAGAGGGAGGUUUGGCCCCAAAAAGGCUAGGUUUUAGAAUUUCAAGUCGAGACAUAGUCAAGAAUUUCAAGCCGUCAUCAAACCUAAAACGUUGCAGCAAAUUAGGACGCAGCGUGCGGUUGCCAAGUAGUUUUUAAUAGGAGAAAUACCCAGAGAAUAACACGGAGUUGCACAUUUAUAACAAAACAAUGACGCUCUCAAACAAAGCCGAUCAUGAACGCGCAUUUCAAUUCGCGCCUCGUGGUAAAAGACGCGCGCCCAAACAAAGCUAGCCAAAACAUAUUCUACCAAAGUUUUUUUCGCGGCAAAUCAAAUUUCAAUGCAUUAACGUGUUUACGGAGCAAUGCGGUC